CUGCUUCUGGUGGGAAGGACCUUUUCUAUGUGGUGUUGAUAUGGUCACUGAUUAGCUUUUGCAUUGCUAAAACAAGGUAUGGAGUGUUUAGCUUUUGUAUUGCUAGUCGAUCGACUGAUAUAUUAGAUAUACUGUAACUGAUACUGCAUCUGUAGUAGUUAUUUUUAUUAGUUGGAACUUGGAAGAACUUCUCAUUCUUUAGUUGUAUAUAUUGUUUCAUGAGCAUAUUGUUAUAUGAAAUGCAUCAACUGACCUACUCGAGAAGAUUAUUAGAUAUUACGAAUGGAGCGUCUUAACUGUUAAGAUACGGUUAUUUGGAUGAAAAUGCUAAUUAGCUCAUAACUAUGUUUUUAGAGGAAUUGAGAUGAUGAUAGCAUAUAAAGAAUCAGUUUCCAAAUGAAAGGUGUAAGUGUUUCCAUAAUAGAAUUCUAGAUUGAAUGUUAUGACUUCAUGAGCUUUUUGUUAAAGAAUUGGAUUUCUAUUAGUUCAAAAUGAGUUGGAUUGCCAAAGAUUAGCUCGUUAGUCAUGCUAUGUUUGAACUCUUCUUAUCUUCUCUUAUUUUGAUAAAAUUCAUAUGACUGCCUUUGACUGAAUCCUUCUUGUUGUAUUGUUUGUGGGAUGUAAAGCAAAAGAACAUGUUCAUACCAUCAGAUGUUGAAAGGGUGUUAUGAACUUGCCUGGGUAAUUUAUAACUUUGGAUGUCAUUUGGAUCUCAAUAUUCUUUAUUUGUAAACCAGAUCCGAAUAUUAAAAAGUCUGCUUCUCAGUUACAUACUUCAAGUCAGCCUUACUACUGCUAAGGCCUAAUGUAUAGAAUAACUGUAUUAAAUGUACUACCAAGGACUCUUGAGGAAUUAUUGAUUCAAAACAUUCUAUCGCUACACCCAUUUUCAAGUAUCUCAAAUAGCACACUAGCUGUAAGAUGAAGAGGUGUCUAAUACGGCCACUCAUCCGCUGAGCUGGGCGAAAGAAUCAAGUGAAGAGUCUUUACUCUAAAGAAAAAGCCUUUUCCUAUUCUAGAAAUCCUGCAAACUAUUAAUUGAAGUGCUUACCAGUCACCGCUACAAUUGGCAGAAAGUAAUUGGCACUGCAUCUAUAUCAAUGAAUAUUUAGCUUUUCUUUAGUCCUCUUUUUUAGCACUGGCUUACUCACAGGAAGCUGGCUUAGCAGAAAGGUGGACUUUGUGUGUAACCUUAACAGAGAAAAAGAAAAUGAACUUUGUCAUAUGCUUUAAUUCAAGAUUGUGUUCUUAAAUACUUGUGCAUUAUGUACACUUCACAUGUACAAGUGUCUUGGUUUAGAUACUCCUUAUUAUCGUAUAUAAAUCUACUUGCACCUUCUGUUUUAUACUGUAUAGUGUAUACUCUAUAACCAGGAAGGACUUUUGUUGGAUUUGCAUUUGAUAAUGUGUUAUCAUCUUUCUUUUCAAGAAAAAAAAAGAAGAAAAAAUUAUGUCUUACAUUGAUGCAGAAGAACCUGAGUGUUAUGACCUGUACUUGAAUACAAAUGGUGAGAUUUCCUUCUGCUUUUAUCUGCCUCUAUUUUCCACCAGAUGAUUUUCGAAUGUGCAGCUCCACCAAGCAAAUUGGACAGGAAAUGGAUGAAGAGUUGCAAGAAGUGAAGAAAUCACUCAUUUUUCCAAGGUUAGUUAUUUGAUUGAUUUAGGACAAAUUAUUUGACUUUAACACAAUUUUAGUUGUGAAGACUACAAAUAUUCCCAAUUUUUAGGGGAACAAAAUUAUAGAGGAAUGUUGUACUGAAGAAUCCAAUUUCAGUUUAAAUUAUCUAUGUGAAUGACAUUAAGGUAUAUACUUUGAGCUUGAAUGGUUAUGGCAUCAUGUCAAUGACAUAAAAUUUAACACUUCAUUUCUGAAAGAAAAAUGGCAAAAGAAACCUUUCCAAACAAUAGUAAGUAACAACAACAACGUACCCAGUGUGGUCCCACAAGUGGGAUUUGGGGAGGUUAAAGUGUACGCGGACCUUACCUCUACCUUGUCAGUUAGAGAGGAGGUUGUUUCUGAAAGACCCUCAACUCAAAGAAAGCAAAGACACAACAUAUGAAGACAUAAGCAACAACUAGAAGUAAGAAAACACGAGCAUACGAGACAACAAGUAGUAAUAGAAAAAUAAUAAAAUAUCAAAAAUAAUUCUAAUACCACUAGCUAGAGAAACCAGGUGCAAAACUAUCUACUACUAGCCUUCUACCCCAGUCCUCGACCUCCACGCCUUCCUAUCAAGGGUCAUGUCCUAGGUAAGCUUAAGGCUUGUCAUAUCCUUUCGGAUUACCUCUCCCCAAUACUUCUUCGGCCUACCCCUACCUCUCCUCAGUCCCUCUAUCGUCAACCUCUCACACCUCCUCACUGGGACGUCCAUGCAUCUCCUCUUGACAUGCCCAAACCAUCUCAUUCUAGACUUCCGCAUCUUGUCCAUGGCCACUUCCACCUUGGCAUGAAUAUCUUCAUUUCUGAUUAUAUCUCUCCUAGUAAGCCCACACAUCCAUUUUAGCAUCCUCAUUUUUGCAACUUUUAUCUUUUGAACAUGAGAGUUCUUAACUAGCUAACACUCUGCCCCAUACGACAAAGUUUGUCUAAUUAUUGCUCUAUAGAACUUACCAUUAAAUCUUAGUGACACCUUUUUAUCACAUAAGACACCAGUGGCUAGACUCUAUUUUAACAACCCCGCACCAGUGCGAUGUGUAACAUCCUUGUCAAUCUCUCAGUUUCCUCGAAUAAUAGCUCCCCAGGUACUCGAAACUCCCUUUCUUGGAGAUGACUUGAGAAUCCAACCUUACUUCCAUAUCUGCUACACGAGGCACAUAACUGAACUUGCACUUCACGUACUCUGUCUUAGUCCUGCUCAAUCUGAAACCUUUCGACUCUAGGAUCUAUCUCCACACCUCAAGUUUGUCGUUAACUUCGAUAUGCAUCUCCUCAAUCAGUACAAUGUCAUCAACAAAUUACAUGCAUCAAGGACCUCCCUUGAAUGUGUCGCGUCCGAAAAUCCAUAGCCAAAGCUAAUAAAAACAGGCUAAGAGUCGACCCCUGAUGCAACCCCAUUAUCGUUGGAAAGUGACCCGUGUCUCCUCUCCCUCUCCUCACCCGGGUCUUAGCUCCAUUAUACAUGUCCUUAAUAGUCCUAAUGUACAUGAUUGGAACACUUUUGCUCUCCAAACAUCUCCAUAGAACUUCUCUCGGAACUGUCGUAUGAUUUUUCAAGGUCAAUAAACACCAUAUGCAAGUCUCUAUUACUUUCCGUAUACUGCUCCACCAAUCUUCUUCUGUAAUCGCCCCGUCAUGAAACCAAAUUGGUUCUCGUUAAUUGAAACCCUCCUCCUUACCCUCAUCUCCACGGCUCCACCAGCCUCUCCCAAUCUUUCAUAGCAUGGCAAUAUCAUAGUGUCAUUCAUAAUUUGUAGACGAUUGCACAAGUCUGACCAACAAUCCAAAUUUUCCAAUCCCUCUUAAAUAUGUCCUAAGAAAUGAGUUGGAAACUCAUAAUGCUGAUUUUAAAAAUAGUAGUAAAUAAAUGUCACAAUUAAUUACCAAUUGUAAUAGCAAAAAGGUAGCCCACGCAUGAAGCAUCCCUUCCAAGGAUCAUGCAUCAUCUAGGAAGCAUCCAAUUGUAAUAUAAAUGUCGGAAGAUUUCCUACUUUGAAAUUACUGACACUUACUUGUCAAAUAGAUGUUAGCAAGUACUUAUUUCGUAAAUAUAAUUUCUUGUAGUGCAAACUUUCUUUUCUUGUGGAAAAUUAUGUAGGUGGCUAAUGUCAAACGUUUUGUUUGCAUCAAACAGAACUGCUUUAUACGUUAAUAUUAAGACCCUUGCCUGCCCCUAACUAUUGCAUGUCUUGUUGCUGUCUCUUUUUUUGGCAAAUAUUUAUGCCAAAUGUACUAGGAGUAUGUUAACUGCAAUUAGUAAUUUUCUGAAGCAAAAUUUGUGUAUGAAGCAUAUAUAGGGAAAGAACUAAUUAUAUAGUUCUGUUGUGUCAUGGACUUCAUACCAUGUUGACAUUUGUAGUAACUGGGAAUAUGAAUGGUGGGAUAUGCUAGUUUGGUUCCAAAUCUCUAUAAUCUACUAGCUAACGAUUAUGCCUUGAACAGCCUUAGUAACCUGGGUAGAAAUACUGAUCUGUCAUUUAUGUGAUUUGCUACUCCGUGAAAGAGACAAUGAAGACAGAAUAUUAGGUCUAGUUCAGACAUUAAAAAACUGUUGAGACUAGAAUUGCUUUCAUGAAUUUGAUGGCUUAGUUAGAAGUAUAGAUGCACACACUACUGUUAGAGCAAUGAUAGUGAAAAAGGCAAAAGUCUCUCGUUUAAGAUAUAAAAUACUAGAAGGAUUCUGCAUCACAAACAACAACAUACCCAGUGAAAUUCCACAAAGUGGGGUCUGGGGAGGGUAGAGUGUACGCAUACCUUGCCCCUACCUCAUGGAGGUAGAAAGACUGUUUUCGAGAGACACUCAACUCAAGUAAAACAAAUCAAAGUAGUAAUGAAAAGGAAAAAACGAUAGUGAAGAAAACAUGUCAGCUAAUAGAAAAGCAGUGUAGAGCAUACAUGCAAGGAAUAGUAAAAUCAGCAAAAUAGUGCGAUCACUUAAAUAUCAUAAACAGAUGAUAACAAAUAACAAAAGAAAGAAACUGUAUGAACUGUAUUAGUGUCCCCCAGCAUGGCCUUAAGUGUCCCUAAUCCACCCUCUCAAAGCUUGCUUAACAUUCUUCAUUGAACCUCAUGACUUUAUUAGUGUCCCCCAGUGUGGCCUUAUGUGGCCUUAAUCCUCCCUAUCGAGGCUUGCUUAACAUUCUUCAAUUUGUGAUGAAAGAUGAUGAAGAAAUCCCUGGUACAUAUGUCCUCCAAUGCUUCCUCACUAAGUCAGGGAAAGUCUCAUGCUUAGCCCAAAAAUUCAAGAAUUUAAAGGAUCUUCUAAGUGGAGUAUCAUCCAAGCUACAAGAUAUUAGUUAAGGAGCAUGAUGUGGCUCCUUCUUGAUCAAGUGUGUGACCUCCAAAAUAGGUCCUUUAAAUUCUUGAAAAUGCAUUCAUCAUUAAAUCUUUUGAGUUUUGCACCUAUUCUUUGUCUUCCCCGCUCCAUGUCCAACAACUUCAGCUCCUUUAGGAUUAGAAUCCUUAGCUUCUGCCCGCAAUUGAAUUCCAGUAGGAUUAGGAUUAACCUUCCCCUUUCCAAUUGAGGCAUCAAUUACCUCCACCAAUGCUGUCAGUUUGCAUCACUAUCUUGGCUUUCCACUUCAUCAACAAGUGCUGCAAAUUGUUUCCCAGUUUGUGUAGGAACCAUAAUUCCUUUAGUAGGAUGGGAUUCGAACGCCCCAUACAUCUUGGACAUCUGGAGCAUGGACAAUAUAAGGCUGGGUCCCAUCAUCGGAAACAAUGAAUUGGGAUUGCCCCAAAAGCUACCUCCUGAGGGGAGAACUGCCCAAGACCAUAUAACGAGACCAAGGUGCUUAUUAUCCCAUUGAUGUGGGACUCCAACAAGCCUUAUUGUCAUCCUUCGAUGAAUUUUGUUCUUGAGAUCUAUGGGCAUUAAAUUUCUUACUUCUAGCUUCUUGCCAUCUCCAUUUAUCACUCACGUUCCUUACAACUUAUCCACUCUUUAACACCUUGGGAGGAGCCUUCCCUUUGUCAUUUGGUUCCACACUUUUCCCAUUGUUCUCAACACUACUGUUGCCUUCAUUAUUUCCUUGCGUCUCCUCAAUUAAUUCAGGAUGUAAGACUCGACAACCAUAUUAUGCCCUUGUAAUUUGCGUUCUUUACAAUGCUUAGGCAUAUAAUUAUGCUUAACGUUAUCUAUUUCGUUCUUACCUCUCUAGUAGCGCCUCACCAAACCAAUUUGAAUUUGCACACUUUGGGAAUUCACCAAGUAAAUUCACUUCAACUUUUACCCUCGCAUAACUUGGCCUUGUUUUGUUCUUUGUUGCCAUUUCAACAUGUAAUGACUUCCCAACUGAUGGAGCAAGUUAGCUAGGAUUCCUUUACAAAAAAAUUUAGGAGGCAAAAAAGUAAAAAGGAAAUCCAUGCAAUAGCAAUGGAAGUUUCUUCUUCCGAAUCAAACCAAGGAUCCCACUUAUGAGGACACAUUUGACAGAAACCAUCCUUGGCUUUGAGAUAGUAAGCACGCUUCGACAACACGUGGACAUAAUUUUAAAGCAACGUCAAUCGAAUAAGAACAUGUCUAUUGCAAUUUGCACAAAAAUCUUACAAUUCACCUCACAUUGCGUAGGAAUGAUCUUGCACAAUUCUUGUAUUUCCAUCCAUCCAUAAGAGAAUUUACCAAACAAUAGCAUAUAAUAAAUUCUCUGGACUAUACCUUCUCCAAAAAUAAUUACUAUCACACGAUCAACUUUAUCCACAGACCAACGAGCCGUGGGUUCGCCGUGAUGGUAUACAAUAGGUUUAAGGGGUAUAGGUUGCAUGGUGGGGGUUUUCCUGGGUGUUUUUAGGAGGGUAGCAUAAGAGGGGUUCACGGGAGGUUAGGGGGGGUGAGUAACCUUAUGUGGAGGCUUCCGCUGGCCAUAUUGUCUAUGAAAAGCUCACAGAGAAAGUCGCCUCCAAAUCAUCUUGUUCGAGAGCUCUCAAGCACGGUCUGGGUGUAGAGUUUUUUUUUCAAUUAAUCCUAACAGACUUUCACUCCCGUGCAAGCUGACUCAGUUUGAAAAAUAGAAGAACACAGUUACAAUGAGUUCAUUCUCCUAUUUCAUCUACUAAGACUGUUAGAAGUGACUUGUAUAGAGGACUACAGCUGCUAUAUACUCUUUUAGUUCAUCUGUAACAACUUUAAGUAGGGAGUGAGGCAGGACUUAAAGUUCAAAGCUGGGUUAACCUAGAGGACAGGCAACUGAAUUUACAUGAAUUUUUUGUUGCUUCUCAUUCUAUGAUUCAUUUGUCUUCAGGUAUGAACAAUCGGGUAGCUUUUUGGUCAGUGAGUGCCUUAAGUCUUAAAUAUUAAAGUUAUAGUGUGCUAUUAAAAAACCUGCAAGAAUUAAAUGUAUCCUGGAUAUAAUACAACCCCGUGAGAGUUUACUAGAGACGCAUGUAACCAUAUUCUGAAUAUCUAUUUCUUCCAAUCUGCCUUAUAGCACAUACUUGCUAAUACAAUAUUAUUAUAAAUUAGUUGGACUUCUUUUGUAGUCUCUUCAAUGAGUAGUUAACUCCGAUCGAAUCUUUUCUAGUUUGAGUUCUGAACCUCUGACAUCUCUUCUAGCCUAGCUGUGGAUGCAAGAGGUGGAAUGGAGACAGUAGACACUACGACCAGCAUUACAGCGUGUUUAC
This 7276-nucleotide long non-coding RNA is filed under the name Solanum tuberosum (potato). RNAcentral's name for it is "long non-coding RNA (STUB_LNC008675)". The record is from RNAcentral. Lineage: Eukaryota; Viridiplantae; Streptophyta; Magnoliopsida; Solanales; Solanaceae.